AUAUCAAUAAGCGGAGGAAAAGAAACUAACAAGGAUUCCCCUAGUAACUGCGAGUGAAGCGGGAAAAGCUCAAAUUUGAAAUCUGUCAGUCUUUGACUGUCAUCCGAGUUGUAAUCUAGAGAAGCAUCUAUCCGCGCUGGACCGUGUACAAGUCUCCUGGAAUGGAGCGUCAUAGAGGGUGAGAAUCCCGUCUUUGACACGGACUCACCAGGGCUUCUGUGGAUGCUGCUCUCGAAGAGUCGAGUUGUUUGGGAAUGCAGCUCAAAAUGGGUGGUGAAACUCCAUCUAAAGCUAAAUAUUGGCGAGAGACCGAUAGCGAACAAGUACCGUGAGGGAAAGAUGAAAAGCACUUUGGAAAGAGAGUUAAACAGUAC
RNAcentral lists this ribosomal RNA (374 nucleotides) under uncultured fungus. Its description in RNAcentral is "eukaryotic LSU rRNA". It matches the Rfam family "Eukaryotic large subunit ribosomal RNA", at positions 40 to 398 of the family's 3401-position model. Lineage: Eukaryota; Fungi. The record is from RNAcentral.